UACGAACCUCGUUUCUAUGCAUUGGUUAUCCUUGGCAUUCACACGUUCAAAAAUGUAGUCUGAAAUCCUGAAGAAGGAACGGGAGUAUUGUUUUUAAUUUUCGACCCUUAGCCAACUCUGCUCGCCUGACGACCAUAAUCUAAAAUGAACUACCCACAAUACAAAACUACUAAGAGUACUACGGUUACGCAUUCCGAACCGUAUGCAGAAUACGAACUAGAUUUGACAAGUGUUGUUUUUUUCUUGGCAGUAUAUGUCUACCUCAUAUUCUGUCACUUAAGGAAUUUCGACCAAGUAAGAAAUCGGCGAUUAUAGCAGUCAUGGCAUCAAGAUACUUCAACUGGCUGGGGAAUCGACAGGCAAUCCUGUUUUAACUGGACGAAAGGCCCACUGAAAUGUGAACGUUGUCUUAUAUCGAAAUCUGACAAGAUUUUCUUAUCAUAAAAUUUAAAGACUUAUGACAUGAUAGCUUCUUAAAAGUUGCAAGGUUUUAGCGUAUCCAUAGAAUACUUAAAUGUUAAUUUUUAUUGUCUAUUUUUAAGACUUUGUAAACUAACGUAUUUCCAGAGUACCUGUAAAUUGUGGUUAAUUCUGCAAUUUUUUUUAUAUCCAAAAAGUUCUUUUAUACUAUUAAUUAGUAAUUUUUCUAAGCAAUUUUUCUAAUAGAAAUCAAAUGUUUACACUGUAA
Long non-coding RNA from Macrobrachium nipponense, 688 nucleotides. RefSeq lists it as uncharacterized. The transcript is spliced from 3 exons. The record is from RefSeq and is a predicted model, not a curated record. NCBI's taxonomy places the organism in Eukaryota, Metazoa, Arthropoda, Malacostraca, Decapoda, Palaemonidae.